This is a long non-coding RNA of Lotus japonicus, 2198 nucleotides long. RefSeq lists it as uncharacterized. Lineage: Eukaryota; Viridiplantae; Streptophyta; Magnoliopsida; Fabales; Fabaceae. The transcript has 5 exons. The record is from RefSeq and is a predicted model, not a curated record.
CUGCUUUAGCAACAACCUCAAACUGUUGGGGCUUUUAAAAUUAUUUCAACAAUCCAUUGGAUCCAACUUUUGUGGUAAGGAUUCCCAUCUGACACCCAAGAGUGAAAUAAACCAUACCCUCCUACUCCAUAAGCAAUCUCUAAACACAUGGUCAAUUCCAAUCCCUUAUUACACCUCGGGAUCUACUACUUCUUAUUCUUGAGUUUGGUUUUUACUAUUCCUACAAGACCUUCAAUCGCCACUCGCCACGUGUACUGCUUUUUCAAGGUUUUUCUUUUCCAAGUGGAGCCUCGCAAACGACAUCGUUUUUCAAUCUUCAGCAUUCUUUCUCCCCAUCUCCAAUCAACCUAGCUGGCUUAACGUGUUCAUCUCCCUUUCCCCUACCCACUCUGCAGUACCAUUCAUCACCUUCUUUUACUUGAUUCUUCUCCCACAGCUUGCGUUUUCUCCACAUCAAUCCAUCAAUUGAUGGCUUUCCCCGAUCUUUGGCGUCUUUCCAUGGCUUUUCCGGCGCUACCCAUCACUUCCCGCUGUCAACCAAUGCGUGGAUGUGUCACAGCUGUCAAUUAGUGGUUAUGGAGCAUUUCAAAAUGGAAUACACUUCAGUGCUAAAUAAUAUUCCUAUGGAAUGUGAUGGACGAAUCACAAAUAAUGGGAAAGAAUUGAAGAGAGGCAUAAAAGCAAGGAGAAAAGAAAGGGAUAAAAGAGUUUUCUUCGAUUGCAAGAUUAUCAAGGAAUCAAAUGCUUAGAGAUUGUCAAUAGAUGAGGCAGAAUCAAUCAUGCAGCACUUGAUGACCUUGGUUCAAUUUACAGCUUAGCAUGUUCUAUAUGCAAGACGUGUUACGGAGUUUUAAAUUUCAAAGUGAGCCCAAGCAUGCAAAUAUAGCCAAUGAUGUGAGGGUGGAUGGUAUGCUUCCUUAUAGUGCAAUAUUAUCAUUGUUUGUGUAUGUAUGUGCACAUGUGUAAGUGACUGAGUGAGUGAUAGAGAGAAAGGUACUUUGAUAGUUUUUGUUAGCAUUUGAAUGUGCUUUUGCUACACAUUUGUAUUUACCAAAUUUAUUAAUGGUCUGAUUUAGGAGCUUCCAAGGACCAUACCACACUAGGAAAUAUAUUGAAAAUCUUUCACACAAAAGAAUGUCUUUUUAGCUCGAUACAAAAUUGGCUUUCUAUUUACUUUAGCAACUUUGAUAAUAUGUUCAUAUGGUUGCUACUUUCCAUCAUAUGAUCCACAGGUGUAAUUGCCUAUGUGAAUUUGUAGAUUUGCUACUCUCUGCAUAAUUCUCAAGUAGUACUGUUCACUUCACUCAUAACUUUGCUUUUAUGGGGUGCAUUCUUUUCUCUUUUUAUUUAUGUUAAUCUAUAUUUUCAAAGGAUGGGGUUAGCUGGGUGGUUUGUCAGUAACAAACUAUAUCCUCAGUUAAGUUUUUUCACUUUUUGAAAAAAGAAUUGCACUAUGGGAUGAUUAAAAGAAAGAGCCAAUCCACUCUUCAAUAAGUACAUCAAACAUUAUAUUAAUCCCUACAACAGACUGUUUAUAGUAAUAGCUUAUAUAGUUGACAGUGGCAUCAUGUUGUUUAAAUUGUUUGCUUAAAGCUUAUGGGAUGAAGCAUUAUUAUGAAUCCUUUGGUAACAGCUCUUUUUCUUAUUUUUAUGUGAUUAGUGUGCACUGUUUUUGCAAAACCUAUGUACAAAGUUUCAGUAUAUGUUUGCCCAAGGAAACUGAGGGAUGGGGUGAAGGAUUGGUGUCUCUUUAAUAAUGUUCUCUUGGUCAAAUGUAGAUGAAGAUUGCUACUUGAAAGGGAUAGCCUUUGAUGCUAAGUAUACCCUGGUGGUGAGGGGAGCUUAGAAGUUCCUGUAAACGCAUCAGUGUGGUGAAGGUAUUCAAUAGCAAAGACCAUGGUGUCAUUACCACUAGCUGCUCACCAUAAAUUUCAUUUUCAUAACACCUUUCAAUACUAAUUUGCAAGUCUUUGCAUGACUGUUUUAUUCAAGUUAGAAGAUUACUAUUGCUUGGUGUCCACUUCCAAUUUGGUGUAAAUUGAUGUGAAUCUUUGGUUUUUGGUUAUCUUUCCCAAUUUGUUUGGUAAUAAAUUUUCCAUAUAAACAACACAAGGCUUAACUAGAGAAUCUUGGGUGACUUUGUCAUAAUAAAAAUGCCAGUGAUGUGAAUCUCAGGAAUUUUAUGUCAAAUCCCUAUA